GACGAACGCUGGCGGCGUGCUUAACACAUGCAAGUCGAACGGAAAGGCUCCAGCUUGCUGGAGUACUCGAGUGGCGAACGGGUGAGUAACACGUGGGUAAUCUGCCCUGCACUCUGGGAUAAGCCUGGGAAACUGGGUCUAAUACUGUAUAUGACCUUUCUCCUUAUUUGGUUUGGUGGAAAGUUUUUCGUUUUAGGAUGAUCCCGCGGCCUAUCAGCUUGUUUGUGGGGUUAUGGCAUACCAAGGCGACGACGGGUAGCAGGCCUGAGAGGGUGAUCGGCGAAAUUGGGACUGAGAUACGGACCAGAAGCCUACGGGAGGCAGCAGUGGGGAAUAUUGCACAAUGGGCGGAAGCCUGAUGCAGAGACGCAGCGUGAGGGAUGACGGCCUUCGGGUUGUAAACAUAUUUCAGAAGGGACGAAGCGUAAGUGACGGUACCUGAAGAAGAAGCACCGGCUAACUAUGUG
This 467-nucleotide ribosomal RNA is filed under the name uncultured bacterium. Its description in RNAcentral is "partial 16S ribosomal RNA". It matches the Rfam family "Bacterial small subunit ribosomal RNA", at positions 28 to 507 of the family's 1533-position model. The record is from RNAcentral.